RNAcentral lists this ribosomal RNA (253 nucleotides) under uncultured bacterium. Its description in RNAcentral is "partial 16S ribosomal RNA". It matches the Rfam family "Bacterial small subunit ribosomal RNA", at positions 524 to 776 of the family's 1533-position model. The record is from RNAcentral.
UACGGGGGGGGCAAGCGUUGUUCGGAAUUACUGGGCGUAAAGGGCUCGUAGGCGGCCAACUAAGUCAGACGUGAAAUCCCUCGGCUUAACCGGGGAACUGCGUCUGAUACUGGAUGGCUUGAAUCCGGGAGAGGGAUGCGGAAUUCCAGGUGUAGCGGUGAAAUGCGUAGAGAUGUGGAGGAACACCAGUGGCGAAGGCGACUCUUUGGCCUAUAACUGACGCUGAGGCGCGAAAGCGUGGGGAGCAAACAGG